Long non-coding RNA from Camelus dromedarius (Arabian camel), 545 nucleotides. RefSeq lists it as uncharacterized. Lineage: Eukaryota; Metazoa; Chordata; Mammalia; Artiodactyla; Camelidae. The transcript has 3 exons. The record is from RefSeq and is a predicted model, not a curated record.
GUUUUCGAGUAACAUCUUACAGUAUGUAUUUAGUGUCCUCAUUGCGGAAAUUUCUUAAAUGUUCUUCAGAAGACAAUGAGGUCAUUCAACCAGGUUUCAUCAGCCCCAGGGGUUGGUCCGGAGAGAUUCCACUUUCACCAAAAGAAAGGCUGGUUCCAGAGAUGACAUUUACACUACAGACAUGAAUGCUCCAGUCUCCUCAUUUUGCAGAUGAGGAAACUCAAGGCCCAGAGAAGCUUAUUGAUCCGAGGUCACAAGGUCACUAAAUGGGACCAGAACUCUGGGCUCCAGUUUCUAGCUGGAUGCUUUUUCUCCACGGAUUUGCCUUCCACACAGACAUCUUUUAAAGCCUAAAAAUUUCUUCUCAUUUGCCUCCUCUUCUACUCCUGUGCUGUUUUUUCCCUUCCCAUUUUCCAUCAACCUGUGCUCUUCCCUCAAAUGAACCCGAAGUGAAAAUAUUAAAGGAAAUACCUGGGAAACAGUCCAGACUCUUAUUUCAGUUAUCUGUUUUAAUAAGAUUAAGAUUUAAAGAAUAAACUUUCAUU